GAUGAACGCUGGCGGCAUGCCUAAUACAUGCAAGUCGAGCGAACGGACAAUAAGCUUGCUCUUUUGCUGUUAGCGGCGGACGGGUGAGUAACACGUGGAUAACCUACCUAUAAGACUGGGAUAACUUCGGGAAACCGGAGCUAAUACCGGAUAAUAUUUUGAACCGCAUGGUUCAAAAGUGAAUGACGGUUUUGCUGUCACUUAUAGAUGGAUCCGCGCUGCAUUAGCUAGUUGGUAAGGUAACGGCUUACCAAGGCGACGAUGCAUAGCCGACCUGAGAGGGUGAUCGGCCACACUGGAACUGAGACACGGUCCAGACUCCUACGGGAGGCAGCAGUAGGGAAUCUUCCGCAAUGGGCGAAAGCCUGACGGAGCAACGCCGCGUGAGUGAUGAAGGUCUUCGGAUCGUAAAACUCUGUUAUUAGGGAAGAACAGAUGUGUAAGUAACUGUGCACAUCUUGACGGUACCUAAUCAGAAAGCCACGGCUAACUACGUG
RNAcentral lists this ribosomal RNA (497 nucleotides) under uncultured bacterium. Its description in RNAcentral is "partial 16S ribosomal RNA". It matches the Rfam family "Bacterial small subunit ribosomal RNA", at positions 28 to 507 of the family's 1533-position model. The record is from RNAcentral.